This 346-nucleotide ribosomal RNA is filed under the name uncultured bacterium. RNAcentral describes it as "bacterial SSU rRNA". It matches the Rfam family "Bacterial small subunit ribosomal RNA", at positions 32 to 359 of the family's 1533-position model. The record is from RNAcentral.
UCAACGCUGGCGGCGUGCCUCAGACAUGCAAGUCGAACGCGAAAGGCCCCUUCGGGGGCCCGGUAGAGUGGCGCACGGGUGAGUAACACGUAGGUAAUUUGCCUUCGGGUGGGGAAGUAACAGCCGGAAACGGCUGCUAAUACCGCAUAAUGCAGCGGCUCGACAUCGAGACAGUUGUUAAAGCGGGGGAUCGCAAGACCUCGCGCCUGAAGAGAAGCCUGCGGCAGAUAGCUUGUUGGUGAGGUAAUGGCUCACCAAGGCGACGAUCUGUAACCGGCCUGAGAGGGCGGUCGGUCACACUGACACUGACAUACGGGUCAGACUCCUACGGGAGGCAGCAGUCGGG